This is a long non-coding RNA of Empidonax traillii (willow flycatcher), 2588 nucleotides long. RefSeq lists it as uncharacterized. The transcript has 3 exons. Lineage: Eukaryota; Metazoa; Chordata; Aves; Passeriformes; Tyrannidae. The record is from RefSeq and is a predicted model, not a curated record.
GACGAGGUACCAAAGCAGAAUAUUACUACUAAGUCUGUUUUCAUUUCUAUUUAAGAAAAACAAACAAACAAACAAAACCACCAAGAAAAAAAACAAACCACCAACCACCUUAUAUAAUAUGACAAGAAUCCUCAAGUUUAAGGAUCCACUACAGAACCCUGCUGCAGCACAGCUCCCUCUUGUCCAUUUCACUGGAAGCCUGAAAACAUCAAGAGCAUUCCGUAAAACCUUAUCACCUACAAAUGUGUUUACAGGCAACUGUCAGUUUUUAUUAAGGAGUACAGUUCUGACAAUGGUAAGGAAACGCUAGAAAACACAAAUCCUGAAAGUCAAAAUUAAGCAAAAUGAAAGCAAAUGAAUCACCUCCUCUUUGUAACCUGAUGAUUUUUGUGGAACUCACCUACUGUGAUGACAUAGGUCUUACAGAUGUUAAAAAAAAAAUUAUUUUAAAAGGAUAUCUAAAAGGGUUAAACAUUUGCAGAUAUUAUGAAAACUGAAGUCAGAGAAAAAGUUCAGUCAAAAAAUUCUACAAAAGCCCCCAAAUCCAACAAACUCACGAGAUUAAAUAUGUUUUUAUUUCUAAUAAUCCACUGAAAUUUUCAUAAUUAGGUCUGCCAACAGCUUACCUUCCCUGCUUUGCAACAUAACCAUAAACAAUAAGAUAGUUUGCAGAUAAUAUAAAUUUUUUGCAAAGUCAUACUGAAAGACAACUGUGAAGAGUUACAAAAGCAUCACAUGAUAAUGAGAACACUGGAUGAUAAAAUGACAUCAGUUUAACAUAAUGAUAGGCAAAAAAAAAGCAGAUGAGAGGAAAAACAGACAAGUAAUGAAUAGUAUAUACACAGCACUAGGUUCAAACAAGACACUGCUACAGAGGAAAGAUCAUAUGGACAUUACAAGCAAUUCAAUGAAGACUUCUGCAAAAUACUCAGCAGUUGAUGGAGUAUAAAGCAAGCAAAACAUUUGGCACUAUCAAAGGAAAACAGAAAAGAAUUACACUACUGUGUAUAGUCAUGGAGCACGUAACUCUGGAAUGAUAAAAGGGUAAGAGAACAGCAACAGCACCAUCAGCACUAUGGAAAGGCUUACACAUACAAAGAGGCAACAGCAAGGCUUUUGACAACAGAAAGAAUAUGAAAUUCAUACAGCCUGAUGACAAGGACUACCAGAUUUUGACAAGGAUGCAGGGGCCACUCAGUGAUUUACCACUGGGGAAGCCAUACAAAAGACAGCUAUCUUUGCAUACAGCAAACUGCAGGAGGGUGAAGUUAAAUGACAGGUGACAUGCUGAAGGUCAAAAAUGCGAACAAGUUAAAAAAUAACUUUUUGGCUUAAAAAAUCAGAUUAUUCAAAUAGUCAUCAGAAUCAACAACAGCUACUGUGGUUGAGAAGGAAAGGCCUCCUCAGAAAGCCUCUCACCCCUGGUGACUUGAGCCACGUGCCAGUCAAGGUACACACUGCUGUCCUCAGCUUACCCUUCUGCCUUCUCCACCUCAGGAUGGCAGCUCCUUACAAGCAGCAUAGUUCCGCAACCAAAGUUGGCUACAGCUCCAUAGGGACAGGCUGAUCCUCAAGCCCUCCUGUGAGAAACUCAACACUUUCGUCUCCUAUUUCAAACAAAAGGAUUCCACAGGUGGUAGACUCAUCCCAUGUAGCUUCAAGCAGCUAAAUGCAUCACCGGCAACCAAAAAGCAUGAUCUCCUUCAGCCUUCUCGUGCCACUGGGGAGACAGGCACCUCCAAUGACGAUAUCCAGAACAUGAAGGCACAGCCUUAUCUCCUGGGGCCACCAAAGCCGUCUAGUCUGACCUAACUGGAUGGACACACGCCCCACUGCCACGCAAGGACUGGCAGGUAACACCAGCAACUGUGCCACCUGCUCUGCACGCCAGAGGAAUCAUUUACCAACAUGGGAAGGCAAACAAAGCCUUGCAGAAACACAUUUGUUCUCAGGCCUUAUUUCCUUGCCUUUUGGUUGUGCCCUCCUCUUCAAGAGACUGGGGAAAGAAGUUGGGACAGAACAAGAGUGGAAAACCAGAGAGAUGAAAGGGACUGCAUCCCUAAUGCCCCAUGGAAAGUGUCCAAAGACUUCCAUCUCCACGGGCAAGGGCAAGGUUCUGUUUUGCUGCUGAGACAAAGACCUGGAAAGGACAGGGGAAACACUCAGCUAAACUACAAUGUGAAAAACUCUCCCAGCUUUCCUUCAAGAGCACAAGGAAUUACAGUGAAGUCAAAAAUGCCCAUACUUUUACGACAGGUGCAAACCUCAGAAAAUGUUCUGCAGUGAGUGUCCGUCUCCUUCAGCCAUCCGUCCGUAUGCGGCUGGAAAGGCACCAGCCCCACAGUGUGACUGAGCAUGUAAUGGGCUCAAGUUACAGGAGAUUAGCAGGAUUUCCCCUGUAACUGCUGCUCCCAUCUGCCAGAGACCAGACAUUGGAGCUGACAGCAGGAAGACAACCUCGCCUGUUGCUCUCAUGACCCUUCGGCUGGUGCCCCAGGGACAUGCAUGAGACCAGCCCUGGAGGGCACAUGGCAGAGGGGGUGUCAGAAAAGUCAGGGGGGCCAAAGCAUGACACGAAGCUGGACAAA